AGUCACUGACAUUAGAUACCCGUGUAGUCCCAGCCGUAAACUAUGCGCGUUAGGUGUAUCGGUGACCACGAGUCACCGAGGUGCCGAAGGGAAACCGUGAAACGUGCCGCCUGGGAAGUACGGUCGCAAGGCUGAAACUUAAAGGAAUUGGCGGGGGAGCACAACAACGGGUGGAGCCUGCGGUUUAAUUGGACUCAACGCCGGACAACUCACCGGGACGACAGCAAUAUGUAGGCCAGGCUGAAGACCUUGCCUGAAUCGCUG
RNAcentral lists this ribosomal RNA (264 nucleotides) under uncultured archaeon. RNAcentral's name for it is "partial 16S ribosomal RNA". It matches the Rfam family "Archaeal small subunit ribosomal RNA", at positions 717 to 982 of the family's 1478-position model. The record is from RNAcentral.